This 834-nucleotide ribosomal RNA is filed under the name Entrophospora claroidea. RNAcentral describes it as "partial 28S ribosomal RNA". It matches the Rfam family "Eukaryotic large subunit ribosomal RNA", at positions 1 to 649 of the family's 3401-position model. Lineage: Eukaryota; Fungi; Glomeromycota; Glomeromycetes; Entrophosporales; Entrophosporaceae. The record is from RNAcentral.
AAGUGCUUGGUCGAGAUUGUAAGAUACAUUUAAACAAUGACCUCAAAUCAGGCAAGAAUACCCGCUGAACUUAAGCAUAUCAAUAAGCGGAGGAAAAGAAACUAACAAGGAUUCCCCUAGUAACGGCGAGUGAAGAGGGAAGAGCUCAAAUUUUAAAUCUGCCUUGUUUCAAGGUCGAGUUGUAAUUUGAAGAAGCGUUUUCUUGGGCACGCGACCGGUAGAAGUUCUUUGGAACAGGACAUCAUAGAGGGUGACAAUCCCGUCUGCGACCGGUCGUGCGUUCAUCUACGAUACGCUUUCAAAGAGUCGAGUUGUUUGGGAUUGCAGCUCCAAAUGGGUGGUAAACAUCACCUAAGGCUAAAUAUUGGCGAGAGACCGAUAGCGAACAAGUACCGUGAGGGAAAGAUGAAAAGAACUUUGAAAAGAGAGUUAAACAGUACGUGAAAUUGUUGAAAGGGAAACGAUUGAAGUCAGUCGUGCUGGCGCGAAAUCAACCCUCUCGUCGAGAGGUCACAUGGCGUGGCGAGCCUCAAAACCGUCACGAAGCGUGAACUCUUGGCGAAAAGGAGCACUUUCGUGUCCGCUGGUUAACAUCAAUUUCGAACGUCAUAAAAAGGCUGGAGGGAUGUGGCUCCUUCGGGAGUGUUAUAACCUUUAGCGGAAUGUGGUGGUCGGGAUUGAGGAUUGCAACGAAUACCUUUAGGGCUGUUCCACCUGGCUUCUCUUUGGUAUCCUGGUGACGACAGCUUGCUGACGUUGUUAGGAUUCGCCUUUGAACAGGCUAGAGUGUGAGCAAAUUCGUUAAGGAUGUUAACGUAAUGGCUUUAAACGACC